Nicotiana tabacum (common tobacco) is the source of this 800-nucleotide long non-coding RNA. RefSeq lists it as uncharacterized. The record is from RefSeq and is a predicted model, not a curated record. NCBI's taxonomy places the organism in Eukaryota, Viridiplantae, Streptophyta, Magnoliopsida, Solanales, Solanaceae.
CCAUCAUCCAACGGCCCAGAUUAAUCAACUAAUUUUUGAUAUACCAAACACCCCCCCACUCGUCUCUUCAGAGACCAAAACACACACCACCCCUACCACCGUGCUCUGCCCACCGGAAAUCGCCUCACAGCGGUUCCGGUGGUCCAAACAGCCCCAAAAUUACACCACAGCCUCGCCACAAUGUCCUUUUUCCAAAUCCCGAAUCAGUUUUCUUCGAAUUAGUACCAUACGCUUCGAAUCUUCAAUCGAAGAUCAGUCCCAAAACCCUAGUUCGUCCGUUUGACCCCAAAGUUACACCACUGAACCACCUAGCUACCCUCGUCCCAAAUCCCACCCCAGUUCUGUCCGAAUCUUGUUAAAGCCUUUCGAAUUUCAAAUCGAAGGAAAACCCUAAAAGAACCAAACUUCAGACUGUGUACGAAGUUAAAAAUUUGAGGUUUUAACCGACUUUAGUCGAGUGUUCUCAGUCGAGAACACUCGAUUAAGGUCCGUUUUGGCUUCAAAAUUUCAAGACGAAGUGUCGACUGAAACGGAUUGAGUUUGGUAUGAAAUUUCGAGGUACACAAUUUGAACUCACCUUGAUGUAACUGCAGAUUUGAAUGAAAUGAAACCAUAUUUCAAGAGUUAUGCUCGUUUGGAAUGCAUAUGGCUGUAUUUGAUCAUCUGUUGAGUAGUAUACAUAUUUAAUUCAUCUAAUUUGUAUUAUAUUAAGGACUGUAUAAUUAGAGCCAUUUCUGAAUUGUUUAGACCAGCUGAUUCAUACUGGACUGUAUUUGGACUGUGAGUAUUUGGUUUUCUCA